GUGUGAGUGAGUGUGUGUGUGAGAGUGUGUGAGUAAGGGAGAUGCUGCUUCUUGAUAUGAUACAAGUGUGGGCCCACCUGGCAGCCUAAGGUGGGAUGUGGAAGCCAAGGGUGGCUGCAGCCCCCAGUGGCUGGAGAAGGCAACUUCCCUGACCCAGAGUUGCCGAGUGGCUCAGGGACGGGCCAGGGCCACGGCCAGGAGCCAGGGAGGAGGCUCUGAACAGGCCUUUCAUCCAUGGCCAGAGAUGCCUGGGAAGCACCAUGUGGGGCAGACCCCUUAGAGUCCGAGCAAGAGCCUCUCCCGCCUGUAACUACUCUACAGCCACGACGGCUCUGGCAGAGCCCGAGAAACCCACAAAUACAUCCAUGAAUAUUUAUUCAGCCAGUAAAAAUGUAACAUGCACCAGUUCUAUUCCAUGAGGCUUCUAGGUGCUGGACACAGCAGUGAACCAAGCAGAAGACGCUACCUUCCCAAGCUGCCCGUGACAAUGGAACAAUGGCAGCUCAAGUCAGGAAGGCUGCAGGCAUUUCCCAAUAUGCUGUCUCACGAUGGCCCUGCCACAGCCCUGCGAGAAUCUCCACUCACCAGCAAGGGAAACAGAGGCUCAGAAAGCCCAGCGAGUCAGCCCAAGUGCAGAGAGCUAGGUGACACACCAGAUGUCAUCCAGUCUCUCUGUCACAUCCUCACCCUCAAGGAGAUCAGCAAACUGAGGUCUGGAGAGAUGAAGUGACAGGCACAAGCGGAAGCUUCAGGGAGGAAGGCUGCGGGCUGGAGAGAACCUGAGGCUGAGUUUCUUCCAUUUCAUCCAGCGCAUUCACCAAAGCACCCUGUGUGCCGAGGGCAGCGGGGGCCGUACCCUCCCGGAGCUCACGAAUGGGUGAGGGAGAAGCCCCUAGGCGGAGAAACUUACAAUCCCAUGUGGACAUGUGAACUCAGUGAGAGGAGGUGCUGCGGUGAGGGCCACUUCUUGGAGAUUUGGGAAAAGGAGCAGGAUGUUUCUGGCAGUGAGGCUGGGAAGGGCAUCCUUCAUAGCAGAGGGAAGCUGUGAGCAGAGCAGAGGCUGAGGACGACUCCACCCAAGGGGACCGGUGGGGCAGGGGCUGUGCCAGGGCUUGACCCGGAGCUCUGGGCUGUGUCCAGUUCCCUUCAAAUGAGAAAGAAGGCGCCAGAGGUGCAGGGGACAGGGGAUGCCUGCCAGCCAGGCCCCAUCUCCUCUGCUGUUUAGGGACUCGGGUUGGAAUUUCCACGACACUAUUUGGGGGAGGAUGAGGGAGCUGGUGGGAAAUGGGUUUGGGGGCGCGAGGCUUGAUAUCAUUUCUUCCGAUAAAGAGGCAUUGGCUCAGCUUUUCUGUCUUCUGCUUAAUCACUUUCAGAGGCUCAUUAGACUUAGAGGAAAUACACUUGCAAACUCAAACCACAUGCCACCCUCAGAGUACAUACUCCCAUCCCCAAAGCACACGUACCUCAGAGAAAGGAUCAUUGGUUCCCAAGAACAGGAGCCAUUCCGUGGAAGGGGUCACCUGCCUGGAGACUGCAGUGCUCCGAGGCCGUAGAGCAAGGUGGGUGGAAGCGGGUUUGAGAGUUUCAGGGACGGGCUGACUCUCACGGGGCCCUUACCACGUGCCUGCUGCUGUUCUCAUUGCAUUGCACGUAUUAACUCACUUAAGUCCCACCUGAAGGUGGCCACCAUCAUUGUUCCCAAAGAGCAGCUAGGCCCAGACAUGUUAAGUAACUUGCUUCAGAUCACAUGCAGCCAAGUGGCAAAGCCAAAAAUUGUCCAUAGUCAGGCCACCCGGGUUUGCAGCCCAGCUCUGCCAUUGACGAGCUGUGUGUGUUUGAACAAGUUACUCAGCCUUGCUGGUCACUCUUCUCCUGUGUGAAGUACAUGUAGCAAUUACAUCUGCCAACGGGGGGAUGAUUGAAGACCGGAUACACCAUGGGCCUAACACGGUGCCUAGGAUACAGUAAGUACCUGUCAAUUUAAGAAACAGCUGACUAGCUGAGGUCCCACUGAGAUGCCACCUCCUCCACAAGGCGUCUGUCCCUGAAGCUACUAAAGAUCACUCUGUUCAGGUUGGGCAGCACCAGGAUGUCUCCUCUGCAUCCCUACUGUACUGUGGCUAUUUUAUUUGACAAAUCUUCAUAUAGGACUUCCUGUGGGUC
RNAcentral lists this long non-coding RNA (2163 nucleotides) under Homo sapiens (human). RNAcentral's name for it is "HSALNT0300720". The record is from RNAcentral. Lineage: Eukaryota; Metazoa; Chordata; Mammalia; Primates; Hominidae.